GCCGGGCGUUUUGACAUGUGCCUGUAGUCCCAGCUACUUGGGAGGCUGAGACAGGAGAAUUGCUUGAACCCAGGAGGUGGAGGUUGCAGUGAGCCGAGAUCUCGGCUGCACUUCAGCCUGGGUGACAGAGUGAGACUCUGUCUCAA
Homo sapiens (human) is the source of this 146-nucleotide non-coding RNA. It matches the Rfam family "Metazoan signal recognition particle RNA". Rfam says of the family: The signal recognition particle (SRP) is a universally conserved ribonucleoprotein. It is involved in the co-translational targeting of proteins to membranes. Lineage: Eukaryota; Metazoa; Chordata; Mammalia; Primates; Hominidae. The record is from Rfam.